Molecule: long non-coding RNA, 2610 nt
Organism: Lagopus muta (rock ptarmigan)
Lineage: Eukaryota; Metazoa; Chordata; Aves; Galliformes; Phasianidae
Exons: 3
Source: RefSeq, a predicted model, not a curated record
GCAGUAUCUUGUGUAUCUCCUGAUCAGCAGAUGCCUAUAAUGAAGAGGGCCUGUUGGCUCUAUUACUUCCUGGCUUCUGGAGACCUAAGGCAGACAUUGCUCUGUUCCUUGCAUGCUGCUCCCAUUUUUAGGGUUAUCGUUACUACAAAGUCCAGAAAUUAUAGGACUGGUUUUCAUCCUCAGUGAUCUUUGCAGCAAGUACUUCUGCCUAUGAAAAUACAGCAUGCAGAACCUGGUUUCAUCACUAUCUGCAUUAAAGAAGAAGGUGGGUGCCAUCUCCCAGCAGUCCCAUACUCCUUUCUUAAGGACCUUUCUCACCACUUUGGCAUACGGGCUUUGCUGGUCUACACCAAAUGUUUCAGACCUUUGCAUCCCUCACUUGCUCCAGAACAGGCUUUAUGCUGAGAAUGGUUUCUCAUUGGCACUUGGGUAGGAAGUGAAGAGCACAAAUGGGAAAAUUAUCCAUGUCAGAAACAUUUAAUAUUGCAUAAAGCUGGCCCGUGAGGAAUGCUGCCUUUUACUCUUUGAUGUCCUGGGAACUCUGACUCAACCUCCUGCAUCCACAGCUUAUAAACCUCCACAGUGUAUUACCAAAUGACUUCGGCACAAAUUUAGGACAGAAAAGCCCACUUAAUAUAACCUUCUUUAUAAAUGUGGUUCUACGUUCUUCCCUCCUGUAGCUGCCACUGUGUAGUAGGAGGCAAUGCAACACCACUGUAGAGGGGAGGAGGGAGGUAAAUGUGACCACCUAAUAGGCAUUUCACAGCACUCACUCUCUGAGCUAAUUUGUGCUCUCCUGCAGCCUCCCUGCAGGGAUUAAACAUUAGCCAAGAACCACAGGAAGGCUCUGAUCAGACUACACAGCCUAACAAGCUGAUGGGCUUCGGUGUGGUACAGCAACUGAUUCUGUGCUUGGUAUUCCAGAUAGCUGCAUUUCAGCCACUGCUACAAAGACUCUGCACCAUAUAAGUAGGUAGGAAUGAUAACCAAGUGAGUCUGGAGCAAGGAAAUUAAAGUCUCGUCUCUGGCAUUGAUGAAAACUUGUUUCUCGGACAAGAUGCUUCACCUUUGAAUGCUUCAGUUCUGCUGUCUGCAGAAAGUUCCGGGAAAGAAAAAGAAGAGUAAAAGAAUACUGAAUGUCUUCCUCCCCUGAAAAAUAAUGGGGAAGUGUACAAAAUCAGGAACCAAUGUGGACAGACCAAAUGGGCUAGAUGGGACUACUGUGAAGGAACUCCAGUCCUCAUUUGAGCAUCGCAUUUAUUUGCCUGUACUUUGGAAGGAUCAAGGUCCAGCUGUGUUGUGAAAUGUCUGAUGUUGCACUAUCUCCCUGAGCAGCACCCUGCUCUCAUGGGUAGUCCAUUAAAGGUUAUUUCAAGUCAGCUUCACUGCACAUUGGUGUGUCACAGUGGGUUGAAAUGCAGGAGAACUGAUUUUCUAGACUCCCCACUGUCUUACAUUCAUGUAGUCAAAACUUGCAGCAAGUCCACAAGGUGUGUAAGAUCCUGGCUGGCACAUUUGGAAGUGUCAGGCUCCCUGUCUGCAUGAUUUAAAGGCAAUGGAGGACUAGGCCAGUGGCAACAACAAUUAUAAGCCAAAUGUCUGCAUAAGCAAAUAUUGGACUUGUUAUGCGUAUAUUUGACAUCUGCAAUGAGUUGUACAGCCCGUGCUUAAAUGGAGGAGGUGCACAUUUCCUUUGCACACCACAUGAGAACUGUGUGCAAACUAAGCACAAAAGCAUCUCAUUAGUUGAGGCAACUAUUUAAAAACAGGUAUCUAAAAGAUCUCAAAGUACUACACAGUAAAGCAUUAAAAAACAUCGUUCAGUUGCCAAUUGCUGAGCAGAAAGCAAUUUUUUUGUUUGUUUUUUUAAAUUUAAAUUUAAAUCAGACCUCAUGCACACUUCACUUUAGGUUGUGGAACAUGUUUUUAUACACCUAUUUUUUAAGAAACAUUGGACAUACAUAUUUCUAGCUUUCAGCUGGAAUCUUUAUCAGGAAAUCUGUAACUCAGCAUUCCAGGCCAAGAGUCACAAAAAGCAAAACUGCGUAGAGUGGUACAGUAUGCUGUUAGUUGCACUGGAAACAUUAAAAAAUAAUUAAAAAAAAAAAAAACAAAAAAACCAAGCUCCAAUAAAAAGCUCAAUUCAGGAAAAGUAAAAUAAAUGUACUUUUGUGAACUUGAAGGGUGUAAUUCUGUGCUUAUAAUGAUAACAGUAGUUCUUCUGACAACAUAAUCCUCUUUCAAAACUUUGAAUGAAUAACUGCAGCUACUGAAUAAUAGCACCUUUAAACAAAAUCUUAAUUGCAAAACAAAAGAAUAGUAAAGAAAAGCGGUUCUGAUUUUUUUCCCCCAAAGCUUAAAAAAGUUUAGGUCAGAGUUUUGGGUGAAGGUUGUGUUGAUGCUUUUUCCCCUUUUAUCUCAACCAGCUUACUCAGACCUAAUCUUCAACAUCUCAACCACAUGAUUAACACACAAAAUAAUUUCGGAGCAAGCCAGAUCCAAGCAGGAAGCUGCAAGUACUAUCAUGUCUUCAUGAGAUUAGCCAGCAAAAUAACUGUGGUUUCUUCAGGUUUCUUUUUUUAUUUUUAAUUAUUAUGAUUAUUUAUUUUA